This 723-nucleotide ribosomal RNA is filed under the name Triticum aestivum (bread wheat). RNAcentral's name for it is "partial small subunit ribosomal RNA". The record is from RNAcentral. Lineage: Eukaryota; Viridiplantae; Streptophyta; Magnoliopsida; Poales; Poaceae.
AUGAAUCGGUUGGGCGGCAGUGGCAUUGGCGGCGCCGAUGUGCCACCGCUGCAGCAUCAGCGGAGGGAGGAUGUGAUGGGCCUUGGCGAUCCCAUGCUAGUGACGCUGCGCAACAAUUACCGCCAGAGGAUAAUGGAGCAUGCACGAUGGGAGGUAACUGCGAGAUUAUAUGAAGGAAAGAGGGUACCUGCUGACUGGCAGCGGGGGCUGCCGGAACUUGCUAGGCGGGUCGAGAAAGUCUUGUUUGAGAAACACCCAAACAAGUGGGAGUACUACAACAUGACGAAUGGACCAGUUGAGCCACAUUUCGAGUUUGCUGUGACCUCGCUUGCUCAGAUUCAGAGGCAGAGAGCAUCUUCCACUGCGUAUGCUCAUGGGGGCAUGAUACCGGCACCUGGUGUCACGCAAGGGGAUACCUCCAACGAGCUUGUGAACACACUACUAUCUCUGGGGAUAAACUCUAGCGAUGACCUCUCAAAAGUGUCGAACAGCAACUUGGCAAUCCGUGCACCUGUUAAGAAGGAGGUCUCAGAGGAACCAAAGUUCAGCUGUCCAUUCUGCUUCGACGAGCUGGUCGAUGCGUCAUCAACUAUCUGCGGCCACAUCUUCUGCCACAAGUGCAUCAAGUUCUCCGUCCAGGCUCAGAACAGGUGCCCUGCCUGCUGGAGGGGACUCACCAUGAACAGCUUCCACCGCGUCUACCUCCCUGCUACCAUGGACUAA